GGUUAAGCGACUAAGCGUACACGGUGGAUGCCCUGGCAGUCAGAGGCGAUGAAGGACGUGCUAAUCUGCGAUAAGCGCCGGUAAGGUGAUAUGAACCGUUAUAACCGGCGAUUUCCGAAUGGGGAAACCCAGUGUGACUCGUCACACUAUCAUUAACUGAAUCCAUAGGUUAAUGAGGCGAACCGGGGGAACUGAAACAUCUAAGUACCCCGAGGAAA
Molecule: ribosomal RNA, 218 nt
Filed under: Salmonella enterica subsp. enterica serovar Minnesota
Lineage: Bacteria; Pseudomonadati; Pseudomonadota; Gammaproteobacteria; Enterobacterales; Enterobacteriaceae
Description: partial 23S ribosomal RNA
Rfam family: Bacterial large subunit ribosomal RNA
Source: RNAcentral